CCCUUAGAUGUUCUGGGCCGCACGCGCGCUACACUGAUGCAUUCAACGAGUCUAAAACCUGGUCUGAGAGGGCUGGGUAAUCUUUUGAAAGUGCAUCGUGAUUGGGAUAGAUGAUUGCAAUUCUUCAUCUUCAACGAGGAAUGCCUAGUAAACGCAAGUCAUCAGCUUGCAUUGAUUACGUCCCUGCCCUUUGUACACACCGCCCGUCGCUCCUACCGAUUUAACGAUCCGAUGAAAACUGUGGAUUGAGAGUCUGAGUGGGUUCGCCUACCUCAACUUUCGAGAAGCGGUUUAAAUCUUAUCGUUUAGAGGAAGGAGAAGUCGUAACA
RNAcentral lists this ribosomal RNA (329 nucleotides) under uncultured eukaryote. RNAcentral describes it as "partial 18S ribosomal RNA". It matches the Rfam family "Eukaryotic small subunit ribosomal RNA", at positions 1470 to 1796 of the family's 1831-position model. The record is from RNAcentral.